CCCAGACUCCUACGGGAGGCAGCAGUGGGGGAUAUUGCACAAUGGGGGGAACCCUGAUGCAGCGACGCCGCGUGGGUGAAGAAGUAUUUCGGUAUGUAAAGCCCUAUCGGCAGGGAAGAAAUUGGACGGUACCUGACUAAGAAGCCCCGGCUAACUACGUGCCAGCAGCCGCGGUAAUACGUAGGGGGCAAGCGUUAUCCGGAUUCACUGGGUGUAAAGGGAGCGUAGACGGCCAUGCAAGCCUGGAGUGAAAGCCCGGGGCCCAACCCCGGGACUGCUCUGGGAACUGUGCGGCUGGAGUGCGGGAGGGGCAGGCGGAAUUCCUGGUGUAGCGGUGAAAUGCGUAGAUAUCAGGAGGAACACCGGCGGCGAAGGCGGCCUGCUGGACGAUGACUGACGUUGAGGCUCGAAAGCGUGGGGAGCAAACAGGAUUAGAUACCCCGGUACGG
RNAcentral lists this ribosomal RNA (449 nucleotides) under uncultured bacterium. RNAcentral's name for it is "bacterial SSU rRNA". It matches the Rfam family "Bacterial small subunit ribosomal RNA", at positions 330 to 793 of the family's 1533-position model. The record is from RNAcentral.